This 116-nucleotide non-coding RNA is filed under the name unclassified sequences. Its description in RNAcentral is "SAM-I-IV sequence". It matches the Rfam family "SAM-I/IV (S-adenosyl methionine) riboswitch aptamer". From Rfam's summary of the family: It is found upstream of a number of genes which code for proteins involved in methionine or cysteine biosynthesis. The record is from Rfam by way of RNAcentral.
AUUCAACAUCAGGAGCGGUUUCAAAACUGUAACCCGCCAACCGACCCAAAUGGGCACGGUGGUUAGAUCCUUAAGCGGUAGAUGUGCCUUUGAUUAGGAAAUCUUAAAAGCUGCCU